UUUAUUAAAUCAAAGUAUGUUCAGAAUUGGGAAACACCAGACUGGGUAUUGUGAAAAAUGUGGCUCUGAAAAUAUGGAAACAGUUGAACAUGUAUUAUUAAAAUGUGAGGCUUAUGAUAGAGAAAGAUUUAAGUUAUUUCAAGCAUUAAGCGAGUUGGAAAUGAACGUUGUGUCUAUGCAAACAUUAUUAGGUGAUUGCCCAAAGCAGGUUAAAGUAUAUGAAGGAAUAUUUAAUUACUUAAAAGAUACUUUUUUAAUUAACAGGAUUUAGGUCACUACUACCAUAACGUUAUCCACACUCCAAUCCAGUAGGUGGCGGGAAUGCACCAUUUAAGUUUGGUUUGCCAACUGCCAUUAAACUUGAGUAGAAGAAGCAGAAGAAGAAGUAGUCUCGUCUUGCCAUGAACAAAAGUGCGGGAGCUGAGAGAAGCUGACGUCGCCGACGUCCGUGGUUUUCAGGUCAUUGGCACUGCUGUGCAAUGUACAUCUAGGAUGCGGUCUAUCCAGAUGAGCUUCUCUCCAAUGCCAGUAAACCGACAGUGGAAGACACGAGCCAGCACUUCUCCCCCCACAUUGCCUCAGGCUUUUGAGAUCCCCACUUUAAAACUGCUUCUCCCCCCUUCAUGAGACCGGAUGCUAUGUUGGGAUCACCGGGGCCUCCGUCGGCCGCCAUUUACACGCUACAUCAGGUGUAGCAAUUAUGUGAGCUGCAGUCUGGAUCCUGCUUCUGUCAGAUGACCUAACACAAAUGGAAAGAUGACAUCGGCCCUUGCCAGGAUUUCAGACGAUGCCAGCACUGGACUACACACAGUGUGCUGCAACGACGCGUCGACGCCAUCGAUUACGUCGACUAUGAAAAUACGCCGACAUGCGUAAAAUGCGUCGACGCGUCGCUGUUUACAUUCAUUUCGCGUAAUGGCGGCUUCUGCUCCUGGCAGUGUUAUCCAUACAUUGAUUUGUUUGUGUGCGCCACAAAAUCAACAAUGGCCGCAACAUUUACAUUUUUAUUUUCAUUUAAAACGGCUUCAUGUAUUGUUGUGAGCGUUCGGUGGUGCCUCUCUUGUGCACGCGCGCUCUCUCUUUCUCUGCGUGAAGCCCCUAGACAGCGCCUCUCAUACAUGACACUGAGUGAAAGAAUUAAAAGUUGUGUUUUCCAUGCGGAUUCCUCUGUGUACUUGCAUUUUCACAUAAACGUCAGAUGUUACUGUCA
Long non-coding RNA from Misgurnus anguillicaudatus (oriental weatherfish), 1210 nucleotides. RefSeq lists it as uncharacterized. The record is from RefSeq and is a predicted model, not a curated record. NCBI's taxonomy places the organism in Eukaryota, Metazoa, Chordata, Actinopteri, Cypriniformes, Cobitidae.